RNAcentral lists this long non-coding RNA (782 nucleotides) under Triticum aestivum (bread wheat). RNAcentral describes it as "long non-coding RNA (TAES_LNC018303)". The record is from RNAcentral. Lineage: Eukaryota; Viridiplantae; Streptophyta; Magnoliopsida; Poales; Poaceae.
UGCGGUGCGUAGAAGAAAGGUGCUACUUUCACUUAGUUCUCUCAGUUCUAAGUUGGGACUGCAAAAAUUUGAGGAUUUCCCCACAUGUGAGUUGCCUUGAUUAGUUUUGGCUUAGUUAGUGAAAUGAACUGGAAGUAACUUCUGAAUUUGUUUGACUUUGUACUUGCUAGAGACCUAAAGUUUUUGCUUCUAGCAUUUCUCUUUUGUAAGCAGCAUGGCAAACCCGGUUUCAAAGUAAAGACCUGAGGAAGAAUGUGGAUUGAUCAUUGUGAUUUCAAGUCCUUCAGGUGAUUGAUCACUGUGGUAAUUCAUUCUUUUGUCAAAUUUGAUUACAAUUGGGGUUGGAGGGAAGCAACAAAAUUCCUAUCCUGUAAUAGACGUUUUUGGUGUGUGACUUGAUAGUUGUUCACGUCGAUACAAAAUUUCAUUCAUGUGGUUUUUUAAGGCAUUUGAAUUUAACAUUGUUUUUAUGAUUGUCUAAGAGCUGGAGCUAUUAAGACUUGGGACAGAUAUAUACAGGUAACAGGGGCCUACAAGAUCCAAUUCAUGUUAGUUACCUAUAACUCUGUACCUAAAUGCAUCUUUCAUAAUGUUAUUUCUGUAAUUUAUAGAAGUAAACAAAUUCCUUACAGGUUUGACAGUUCGUCAAAAUAAACAAGUAGUAUUGAUGGGUAAAGGUGGGUACUGAUUUAGUAUGAACAAGUCUGCAUGUUUUAGAACUUCUGUAUUUUCUGAGUUUUCUUUCGUUCAUGCAUUUUCCGAGCUUAUGUAUUUUUUGAGUU